CCUACGGGGGGCAGCAGUGAGGAAUAUUGGUCAAUGGGCGGGAGCCUGAACCAGCCAAGCCGCGUGAGGGAAGAAGGUACAGCGUAUCGUAAACCUCUUUUGUCAGGGAACAAAGGCGGGGACUAGUCCCCGGAUGAGGGUACCUGAAGAAAAAGCAUCGGCUAACUCCGUGCCAGCAGCCGCGGUAAUACGGAGGAUGCGAGCGUUAUCCGGAUUUAUUGGGUUUAAAGGGUGCGCAGGCGGCCUGUUAAGUCAGCGGUAAAAGCCCAAGGCUCAACCAUGGGACUGCUUUUGAAACUGACAAACUAGAGUACGGGAGAGGUAAGAGGAAUUCCUAGUGUAGCGGUGAAAUGCGUAGAUAUUAGGAGGAACACCAGUGGCGAAGGCGUCUUACUGGACCGAAACUGACGUUGAGGCUCGAAAGCGUGGGGAGCAAACAGGAUUAGAUACCCUAGUAGUC
This 460-nucleotide ribosomal RNA is filed under the name uncultured bacterium. RNAcentral describes it as "partial 16S ribosomal RNA". It matches the Rfam family "Bacterial small subunit ribosomal RNA", at positions 338 to 795 of the family's 1533-position model. The record is from RNAcentral.